RNAcentral lists this ribosomal RNA (460 nucleotides) under uncultured bacterium. RNAcentral describes it as "partial 16S ribosomal RNA". It matches the Rfam family "Bacterial small subunit ribosomal RNA", at positions 338 to 795 of the family's 1533-position model. The record is from RNAcentral.
CCUACGGGGAGCUGCAGUGAGGAAUAUUGGUCAAUGGGCGUAAGCCUGAACCAGCCCAGUCGCGUGAGGGAUGAAGGUUCUAUGGAUCUUAAACCUCUUUUAUACGGGACUAAAGUGCGGGACGUGUCCCGUCUUGUCUGUACCUUAUGAAUAAGGAUCGGCUAACUCCGUGCCAGCAGCCGCGGUAAUACGGAGGAUCCGAGCGUUAUCCGGAUUUAUUGGGUUUAAAGGGUGCGUAGGCGGCGUUUUAAGUCAGCGGUGAAAGUCUGUGGCUAAACCAUAGAAUUGCCGUUGAAACUGGGAGGCUUGAGUAUGUUUGAGGCAGGCGGAAUGCGUGGUGUAGCGGUGAAAUGCUUAGAUAUCACGCAGAACCCCGAUUGCGAAGGCAGACUGCCAAGCCAUGACUGACGCUGAUGCACGAAAGCGUGGGGAUCAAACAGGAUUAGAUACCCUAGUAGUC